AUUGAACGCUGGCGGUAGGCCUAACACAUGCAAGUCGAACGCGAAAGUCCUUCGGGAUGAGUAGAGUGGCGGACGGGUGAGUAACGCGUAGGAAUCUAUCCUGUAGUGGGGGAGUAACGUUUCGAAAGGAACGCUAAUACCGCAUACGCCCCACCGGGGAAAGGCGGGGGAGUCUUCGGACCUCGUGCUAUAGGAGGAGCCUGCGUCGGAUUAGCUAGUUGGUGAGGUAAAGGCUCACCAAGGCGACGAUCCGUAGCUGGUCUGAGAGGAUGAUCAGCCACACCGGAACUGAGACACGGUCCGGACUCCUACGGGAGGCAGCAGUGGGGAAUAUUGCGCAAUGGGCGAAAGCCUGACGCAGCCAUACCGCGUGUGUGAAGAA
RNAcentral lists this ribosomal RNA (382 nucleotides) under uncultured bacterium. RNAcentral's name for it is "bacterial SSU rRNA". It matches the Rfam family "Bacterial small subunit ribosomal RNA", at positions 30 to 412 of the family's 1533-position model. The record is from RNAcentral.